RNA transcript from Haplochromis burtoni (Burton's mouthbrooder), 4487 nucleotides. It is a transcript of the gene named hemoglobin subunit beta, with no coding region annotated. The transcript has 4 exons. The record is from RefSeq and is a predicted model, not a curated record. NCBI's taxonomy places the organism in Eukaryota, Metazoa, Chordata, Actinopteri, Cichliformes, Cichlidae.
UUUAGUUCCAUAUAAAGAAAGAUAGUAACAAACAACUUUCAGAAUUUAGUUAACUUUUCUUUCUGCUGCGUAAACCUUUAAAGGCAGACACGAGUCUCUGGAAAGGACAAAACCGUGGUCCUUCUGGGAUGAAGCGACUCCGAAAGCCCCUGAGAUUGGAGCAGAGGAUCUGGGCCGGAUGCUGACUGCAUAUCCGCAAACCAAGACCUACUGUUCUCACUGGGCCAGAUUCUGCACAGGUGAAGAUGCACGGCGCCAACAUCAUGGCGUCGGGAAUAUUGACGACCUUGUUGGAGAUCUGACCAAUCUAAGCAAGCUAUGCUUUCAAGCUCAGAGUGGACCCUGCCAACUUCACGAUUCUUGCUCACAACAUCAUCUUGUGCAUGGCCAUGUUCUCCCAGGAAGACUUCACCCCUGAAGUCCACGUCUCAUUUGACAUGUUUCUACAGAACUUGUCUCUGGCGCUGUCCGACAGAUACCGCUAAACUCCAGAUUCAGGCUCACCAAUCGCUGCAUGGAGCGUGUCACCCGCCACACUACCAGAACACAGUUACUAUAUGAAAUUAAUACAUGUUUACAUUUCUUUUACUUUAGUCACGGUAUAUACUUGUAUUAUUAUUAUUUUUAAUUCUCAAUAAAACAAAACUGUUUAACUUGCUCCGACAGCAGACGUCUCGGACACGCCCCUUUACUCUUUAACUUGUGAAGGGUUCCCUGGUGUGUCGUCACUCAUCCAACACAUUAAAUUAGAAAUUUUGACUUACUGUGCGCACGAGUGAUUUAGGGAUGAUUAAAAACAGCAAGUAAAACACAUACUUCUACUUUCAUAAUAGGCCAAACUAAAGUAAUAAUUAUAUACGACAUCAGAGUCACACUAUCAAUGAGGAGCUGUUAUCAACGCGGGUGGGUGUGCGUAGACCAUCUGAUUGCUCUAGUUGGCCUUUUUCUUCUUUCGGCUGCCCUCUUUAGAUGUCCCAUCAUGUGCCUUCAUCCACGAACCUCCUCUGUGGUCCUCGUCUUUUCCUUCUGAAUGGCAGCUUUCCUUAGAUAAAGGAGCUGUCAUGGCAAGGCAGAUACUGCGGUGCACCCUAAAAUAAUCUCGUCGCCCCUAGUCACUGUCAUAGUUUUGCACAUGACAAUAUUGUUAUUUAAAAAAAGCUAGCAUUAACACUUUGAUUCUAGCUACACAGAAUUAACACAGAAAUUGAAUAUAUUUCACAGUGUCACCCCAACCCCGUCUUUGAAAAACGGUUCAGCCCGUAGCAGCCCCUCUAAACUGUUUUAUUUCUUGUUGUCAGUAGCUGUCGCCUAUGAUUGGUGCCAGAGCACAUCUUGAAUGAAGAGGAAUUUCAGAUUUCAACACAGAUAGAAACACAGAUGAAAAUUCAAUUAUAACCAUAAUGAGGAUGGCUGAAAGUCAGCAUUGUUUCAAAUUUUCUGAGGGGAAACAGGUAGAGGUCAUAAAAUACACAUGAGCACUAAAGACUCGCUCACUCAACGUUGAAGUGAAUACAUGUGAACUAGUGUGUAUUAUAAAUUAGUCUGUAGUUCUGUAGCCUUAAUUAUUUCAUCAGUCUGUGUAUAGCACACACUUUGAUUCCCAAAAAUCAAGUAGUCGUGCGAAUUCCUGCCCCCAUCAAAUCUGUUAGCUCCAUCAUGCUUUAUGAUUAUAUGUAUUGUCUCCCAUAAAUCAUUGGGAUUCGUCUUUGGACAAUGCACAGUGCGGGUGGGGUGCUGCCAGUGGCGGGUUUUGAUAUGGGCGACAUGGGAGGUUGCCCAGGGCAGCAUUGUGGUGGGGGUGGCAUCAUGGCAUCGGCAAAAAAAGUUGCUCGUACCCAUGCUGCCCCGACGUCAUGCCAGCGCAUUUUGGGGAUUGCAUGGGCACCGAAAAUAAACCAACAAACUACGGCUGUCAACGUUAAUGCCGUCUUCAGGAUUAACGUGAUUAAAAUUUCUAACACAAUUAAUCCAUCAGAAUGAGUCCAAAUCCCUGAAAUGAUACAGACUUAUAAUUUGUUUUCCAAAAUCUAUUACACACAUAUACCCAAAAAGUGAGCGUGAGGGGCCUCGGUGCGCCUGCUGCUGAUGCUGCUGUGCUGAAGUCUCACGGGGAGGGGGCGGGCUGCUUCCAUAAUAUUGUCAAUCCAAGCCCAUUAUGUAUUAAUUUUUAUUCCUGGUUUGUGUGAAAUCCAAGAAAAAAAAAAACAAAUACAAGGUGUAGCUCUAUUAGUUUAUGUUGUGGGGUUGGGUGUUUAUAUUAGAGCGCAAAAAUUACUGAUGGAAGGUGGAAAAGAAAAGGUCAAAGCCAUCAGGUCCUCAGUUUAGAAAAAAAGAGAAAAGGAGACACAUCCGGUCAGAUGUGUCUUUGGAUAAUGGCAGGUAUUGUGUAUCCUGAAACAAGAUAACAUUCAUUAGUGGGGAUUGGGAAAACUUGGGAAAACUGUUUACCUUUGUUAGCCACUUGGCUAUGAUAGUAAACAGUAGACAGACAGUAGACACUGACACUGUGGCAGCCAUAGUGACAGAUCUGUGUCAGUUUUAUUUUUUAUUAUUUUUAUGCAUUCAUAUAUUUUUAAAAAUAAGUUGAAGCACAAAACGCCAACCGGGUGUAACAGGUGUUUCGCAUGAACUCAAAAUCUUCAGCAGGGGCGGGGUGAGACGCCAACCGAGGUCACACCCUAUGUAAGCUGUCAUGGUAUUUCUGCGUGGUUAAAAUAAUUCAUUUCCCCCCCCAUCGAAACUCCAUCAAUUCAUCCACCCAAAAUAAUAAUAAUAAUAAUAAUAAUAAUAAUAAUAAUAAUAAUAAUAAUAAUAAUAAUAAUAAUAAUAAUAAUAGGAAGAAGAAAAAGAAAGCAUUUCGGAAUAAUGACGAUAAAACAGAAAUAGCUGGUUCUGGGGGACUGCCUGGUCAUUGUAGUUGCUGCUCGUUUAGGUCAAUACUUCACUGCUGAGGUCCGUGCAGCUUCCAGGAGAGUCUUUGUAGCUCAAGCCUCCCUGAGAAGGCAGUACUACUAGCUCCAGAGGACCGUCACAUGCUCUAUUUUUAAGUUGUGUAUAUAAGCUUUCAGUAAAUCAAUCGCUACUCUUCUUUAAUUAGCCCAUAAAGAGAAAAAAAAAAACCCAUUCCUGGUAAAAGCUACAAUAAUAAUCCAACUGUUUAAAAAUGAUCACCACAAACGACCAUGAGAGUUUAAUUGCAUUGGAUCUUUUAUUACAUGUGAGACUGUCAGUGAGUACUCGAGCACAUAAUGCAGUUUAUCUGUAUUUCUCAGACAGGGCGAGAGCAACAGCAGCCAGGAACUUGUCCACAGCCACAUGGACCUCAGGGCUGAAGUCGUCGGGGAACAUGGUGGACAGGACCACGAGGAGGUUGUGAGACAGAACCUGUGGAAAGAUGAUGAUCACAUUGAAAUGAAUGGACUUUUCAUUUAUUUAUUGGUAACCAGAGAUCAUCAUUUCAGAUCAACCAGUAAUCUAUCUAAGAUCAAAUGAAAGCUGAGUUAGAGUGAGUUUAAUUUGUAGUCCAAUCAGUGUUCACAAUAGAACAGAAAAAUUAAUUUGGCAAACACUGUCAUAGUAAAUGGACCGAUGUAUAUAUAUUGCUUUUCUAGUCUACUGGAGCAUUCAAAGCACUUCGAACAACUUGCCUAAUUGACCCAUUCAUACAAGUACUUCUUUUCUAUGACUAGGCUUUUUUCUCUCUAACAUUCACACAAAUUCACACUUCAGUGAUUACACUGAACCACAAACUUUUUAUUAAGUAGAUGACCUCAAAUAAUGUCACCCCACAAAUAUGACAGUAAUAAUGAUCAGUACCUUGAAGUUAGCAGGGUCCACUCUCAGAGUGAAGGCAUGCAGCUCACUGAGGCUCAGAAGAGCUCCGGUCAGAUCGUCAAUUUUGCUGACAGCAUCAGUAACUGCAGCCAUCACGGUUGCUCCGUGCUUCUUCACCGGGGCAGAGCCGGGGCGCAGGUCCUUCCAGUGGGAGAAGUAAGUCUUGGUCUGAGGGUACACUGUCAGCAUCCUGGAUAAAAAUGUAAGAGAACAAGCCAGCGGGUAAGAGACAGAAAUGCAGGAGCAGGUUUUUGUAGGCAGUGUGGGGCCAUAUUUACCUGGAGACAGCAUCACAGCCGAUUUGUUCCUCCUUACCAGCCACUUUAGCCCAGAAGGUUUUGACUGUGUUCUUGUCCUUUGCAGAAAGACUGGUCAUCUUGCCUGUUGUUGCUGUUGGAGUUGUGUUCAGCUCAUUCUGUGGAGGUCUUAUAUAUGAAACAGGAAAUGCACACACCCGACCCACCUCACAGAUAAGGUGUUUGACUGUCUAUCCCUGGACUCAGAGGUAUUUUGGUCAAUUUGGAAACCUCUACAAUGCUGCUGCUAUUGCAUCAAAUCCAAGGGUUGCUGCUCAUGGAAAAGUCAUCAUGGAAGCUCUGGAAAAAGCAGUGAAGGACAUGGACAACAUCAAGGCCACAUAUGCAGAGCUGAGU